CAUUAAGGAAACAUGUUGAAGUGCUGGCUUCUCUGACAACAAUGCAGCAGUCAGUAUGUCCUCCUUCUAACUUUAGAUUCUGCUCCUGAAUGCUCUGGAUUUGUUUGGACCAGAGAAGGUAGGUGGUUUUAAGGCGAACCCCCACACGGCCGUUUUGGACACCCCUCGGUUUGCCAGAUAUGAGAGCAGUUAUCAGGUCAACAGGUGUUGCAGCGAUGGAAGCGGGCAAGAGAAGUGGUUCAGAUAGAAGUGAUUGUACCCGACCUAAAAAGCCUCUGCAUGUUUCUAAUAAGCUCCACGAGCAGAAACGUGCUCAAACUAGGAUCAAUAUUGGAGAUGCUUUUGAAAAAUGGAGAGAGGUUAGAACACAGAAAGGUUUACAGACCCAUGCAGAGCUGGAUAAACACUGAAGCUUCAGAGUCCACCACAUGGUGACCUGAGUGAGCAUGGACUCUAGAGAGGGGGGGGGGGGGGGGGGGGGGGGGGGGGGGAGACAGCUCUCUAUGAUGUUUAGAAUUUAGACUGCAGUACCCAUUUUAAACACAGGGGUCAGAGUUACAUACUGCUCCUUUAAUCAGGCAGAAUAUGUUUAUCUUCUGGAUUAACUUCUUCUGUAUCUGAAGUUGUGAUAAAUGAAUAAAUAAACUGCUGAAUUCAUCACUGUCAGGAUAAAUCUGUAAAAAUACCUCCCCUUGUCUUUGUGUUUGUUUUUUGGAACUUGAUUUAUUUAAACUUUCUGUCUUCAAGUGUUAUCUUUUGUCAUGAUCUUUGUCAUUAGUAUGUUUGUUGCACGGUUGCCCGGGGAACGCAACACUGCAGGCAGGUAAUCCGACAAGAAGCCACAUGCAGGAUCGACGGAGGAUGCUGGUGGAAGUUGUGACACAUGAACGAGUGCUGUGACUGUCAGAGAGAGCUGCUCUCCACACCUUUUGAGGGUGUUUAUCUGGAGGAAAAGGAAUGUCCAAACUCUCUUUAACAUGCAUUUUGCACCUGCAGUGAGUAUAGGGUAUCCUGGAAACUCAAAACAAGGCAUGUGGCCCCUUUUUGCAACUGCUAAUGUCUGACGUAUUCUUUGUAGACGGUGAGCCUCCUGCAGUGCGUUUCUGAGCUUACAACAAAACACAACAUGAGGGUCAGACAUCAGCCUCGAGGUCAGGAGAGGGGGGAUUCUUUCCGUUUCUUUUGACAGGUGAUUACUGAGUCAUUUGUUGAGAGAACUGCUACACAAUAAUCACUACUUUCCCCUUUUUUUUCCACAGGUUGCGACCCUCUGAUGGGAAUUAGUUCUGUGCUCCCCCCCUUUUACUGGAAUUCAAAGGACACACAGGCUGAUGGGUAACACACCUGGCACCUGUGCAACUGUCCUGCAACAUUCAGAGAGCCGUCUAAAAGGUUGUAAGAAUAUUUUUUGUAGUGUCUUGAUACAAACUGUCGUUUUUCUCCUCACAUUUUUUGGGGAAAUUAAGCAGUUUUUGACUCAUUUUAAAGCAAACAAAACCUGCUUAAGGUGAAAUUCUUCUUCAUGUGCUGUGUGGGGGUUUCAAGAGUCUGCAGAAUUUCCUUCAAUCAAACACCACAGCAGCAUGUUUCACACUGAUCUGCACAUGCAUGAAUGAACUAAUGGGAGAAAAUGUGCAGGUGUAACAGCUGGCUCAAUGACAAUCCUGCAGACUCUGGAGGACAUGGUGUUCAAAGUGAGCGCCCGAGUCACACAAUAAUGCUAACGUUUUCACGAGGGGAAUAGUUUUUUGUUUUUAUUUCUAAAGCAUCUUCUUGUAAUUACACGUUCUGCUUGAAAAGUAUGUUCUCAUGUUUUGUUUGCACACACAGCGCUUGAUGAAAUCUGCAGAAAUUCAACAAAAUGACCACGUCAUCCAUCACACGUCCACUCUGUAAGAAUGUGGCAGAAGAAGAAGCACAAAGCUGUGAAGUCGCCCUGAACAGCAGAGGGUCUCUGCCGCUCCUCAUCUGUCCCGGAGUCAUGCACAGCUGCUCGUGAAUCGCCUCUUCAUUAGGAGCUGUAACAGAACACAGACAGUCCACUUCCUGCUUUGUUCUUCUGGCCCUGUUCCCCACGCUCGCUGGGCGGAUUCAAAGUGUGCGACAUGUUCCCGUCAUUGAGGAGAAAUUUAAAUUAACACGGUACACAGGUGGCGAGGAGGGUGUUGUGAGCAAUGAGGUGUUAAUGACCGAAGCAGGUGGUAAAAAAAAACCAAAAAAAAAAAACAGCUCUAAUGAAACAAAUAGCCUCUUUCAAAAACAACCUUUUUAAAGUGGCUUAUGUACAAUAAAAAAAACAACAACUAACAAGCACAACGAUGGAGGGUGAUGUGGUUUCUCUUCGUCCUUGGUCACACACACCAAAGAUCUUAAAUAAUGGAAGGAUGUCUCCUCAUCCUGACAACGGAUAUUUAAAUAAGAUGUUUGUUUCUCAGUUUUAGAGUCCAGCACCUCCAUGAAAAGAUGUGCAGUGAUCAUGUGUAGUCUCUUCCUCUAAUGCGUCUAAUUAUACUUAAUAAUAAUAUUACAUAAUAAAUAGUGUUGGUCCUUUGAA
This is a long non-coding RNA of Labrus mixtus (cuckoo wrasse), 2554 nucleotides long. RefSeq lists it as uncharacterized. The transcript has 2 exons. Lineage: Eukaryota; Metazoa; Chordata; Actinopteri; Labriformes; Labridae. The record is from RefSeq and is a predicted model, not a curated record.